AAUCAUCUUCGGGGCGAGGCGCAAUUCCUCACCGGCAGUUAAAGUCUGCGAGCAAAUUUUACAUUUGCAGGAUCCUGUGUAAUUCAGGUACCGACAGUAUAGUCUGGAUGAGAGAAGAAAAUU
RNAcentral lists this non-coding RNA (123 nucleotides) under Acholeplasma laidlawii. Its description in RNAcentral is "FMN sequence". It matches the Rfam family "FMN riboswitch aptamer (RFN element)". From Rfam's summary of the family: The RFN element is a highly conserved domain that is found frequently in the 5'-untranslated regions of prokaryotic mRNAs that encode for flavin mononucleotide (FMN) biosynthesis and transport proteins. This element is a metabolite-dependent riboswitch that directly binds FMN in the absence of proteins. In Bacillus subtilis, the riboswitch most likely controls gene expression by causing premature transcription termination within the 5' untranslated region of the ribDEAHT operon and precluding access to the ribosome-binding site of ypaA mRNA. RNAcentral also lists the same sequence under 1 other name. The record is from RNAcentral. Lineage: Bacteria; Bacillati; Mycoplasmatota; Mollicutes; Acholeplasmatales; Acholeplasmataceae.